RNAcentral lists this ribosomal RNA (572 nucleotides) under Vibrio sp. 10N.286.48.B8. RNAcentral's name for it is "bacterial SSU rRNA". It matches the Rfam family "Bacterial small subunit ribosomal RNA", at positions 1 to 552 of the family's 1533-position model. The record is from RNAcentral. Lineage: Bacteria; Pseudomonadati; Pseudomonadota; Gammaproteobacteria; Vibrionales; Vibrionaceae.
AAAUUGAAGAGUUUGAUCAUGGCUCAGAUUGAACGCUGGCGGCAGGCCUAACACAUGCAAGUCGAGCGGAAACGACACUAACAAUCCUUCGGGUGCGUUAAUGGGCGUCGAGCGGCGGACGGGUGAGUAAUGCCUAGGAAAUUGCCUUGAUGUGGGGGAUAACCAUUGGAAACGAUGGCUAAUACCGCAUAAUGCCUACGGGCCAAAGAGGGGGACCUUCGGGCCUCUCGCGUCAAGAUAUGCCUAGGUGGGAUUAGCUAGUUGGUGAGGUAAUGGCUCACCAAGGCGACGAUCCCUAGCUGGUCUGAGAGGAUGAUCAGCCACACUGGAACUGAGACACGGUCCAGACUCCUACGGGAGGCAGCAGUGGGGAAUAUUGCACAAUGGGCGAAAGCCUGAUGCAGCCAUGCCGCGUGUAUGAAGAAGGCCUUCGGGUUGUAAAGUACUUUCAGUUGUGAGGAAGGGGGUGUAGUUAAUAGCUGCAUCUCUUGACGUUAGCAACAGAAGAAGCACCGGCUAACUCCGUGCCAGCAGCCGCGGUAAUACGGAGGGUGCGAGCGUUAAUCGGAAUU